This 20-nucleotide non-coding RNA is filed under the name Arabidopsis thaliana (thale cress). The record is from RNAcentral. Lineage: Eukaryota; Viridiplantae; Streptophyta; Magnoliopsida; Brassicales; Brassicaceae.
CAGCAAGGCAAUAAAACCAC